UGACGCAGCAACGCGUGUGAGGGAUGAAGGCUUUCGGGUCGUAAACCUCUGUCGGAAGGGAAGAACGGGCAUUGUCUUAAUAGGCCUUUGUUUUGACGGUACCUUAGAGGAAGCACCGGCUAACUCCGUGCCAGCAGCCGCGGUAAUACGGAGGGUGCAAGCGUUAUUCGGAAUUACUGGGCGUAAAGCGCACGUAGGCGGCCUUGUAAGUCAGGGGUGAAAUCCCACGGCUCAACCGUGGAACUGCCUUUGAAACUGCAGGGCUUGAAUCCUGGAGAGGGUGGCGGAAUUCCUGGUGUAGGAGUGAAAUCCGUAGAUAUCAGGAGGAACACCGGUGGCGAAGGCGGCCACCUGGACAGGUAUUGACGCUGAGGUGCGAAAGUGUGGGGAGCAAACAGGAUUAGAUACCCUGGUAGUCCACACCGUAAACGAUGGAUACUAGGUGUCGGGGACUUGAUCUUCGGUGCCGUAGCUAACGCGUUAAGUAUCCCGCCGGGGAGUACGGUCGCAAGGCUGAAACUCA
Molecule: ribosomal RNA, 523 nt
Filed under: Desulfomicrobium apsheronum
Lineage: Bacteria; Pseudomonadati; Thermodesulfobacteriota; Desulfovibrionia; Desulfovibrionales; Desulfomicrobiaceae
Description: bacterial SSU rRNA
Rfam family: Bacterial small subunit ribosomal RNA
Source: RNAcentral